RNAcentral lists this ribosomal RNA (474 nucleotides) under uncultured organism. Its description in RNAcentral is "partial 16S ribosomal RNA". It matches the Rfam family "Bacterial small subunit ribosomal RNA", at positions 332 to 797 of the family's 1533-position model. The record is from RNAcentral.
UACACUCCUGCGGGAGGCAGCAGUGGGGAAUAUUGCACAAUGGGCGCAAGCCUGAUGCAGCCAUGCCGCGUGUAUGAAGAAGGCCUUCGGGUUGUAAAGUACUUUCAGCGGGGAGGAAGGCAAUACGGUUAAUAACCGUGUUGAUUGACGUUACCCGCAGAAGAAGCACCGGCUAACUCCGUGCCAGCAGCCGCGGUAAUACGGAGGGUGCAAGCGUUAAUCGGAAUUACUGGGCGUAAAGCGCACGCAGGCGGUCUGUCAAGUCGGAUGUGAAAUCCCCGGGCUCAACCUGGGAACUGCAUUCGAAACUGGCAGGCUUGAGUCUUGUAGAGGGGGGUAGAAUUACAGGUGUAGCGGUGAAAUGCGUAGAGAUCUGGAGGAAUACCGGUGGCGAAGGCGGCCCCCUGGACAAAGAAUGACGCUCAGGUGCGAAAGCGUGGGGAGCAAACAGGAUUAGAAACCCCUGUAGUCCCA